GACGAACGCUGGCGGCGUGCUUAACACAUGCAAGUCGAACGGAAAGGCCCUGCUUUUGUGGGGUGCUCGAGUGGCGAACGGGUGAGUAACACGUGAGUAACCUGCCCUUGACUUUGGGAUAGCUUCAGGAAACUGGGGCUAAUACCGGAUAGGAGCUCCUGCUGCAUGGUGGGGGUUGGAAAGUUUCGGCGGUUGGGGAUGGACUCGCGGCUUAUCAGCUUGUUGGUGGGGUAGUGGCUUACCAAGGCUUUGACGGGUAGCCGGCCUGAGAGGGUGACCGACCACAUUGGGACUGAGAUACGGCCCAGACUCCUACGGGAGGCAGCAGUGGGGAAUAUGGCACAAUGGGCGGAAGCCUGAUGCAGCAACGCCGCGUGCGGGAUGACGGCCUUCGGGUUGUAAACCGCUUUCGCCUGUGACGAAGCGUGAGUGACGGUAAUGGGUAAAGAAGCACCGGCUAACUACGUG
RNAcentral lists this ribosomal RNA (468 nucleotides) under uncultured bacterium. Its description in RNAcentral is "partial 16S ribosomal RNA". It matches the Rfam family "Bacterial small subunit ribosomal RNA", at positions 28 to 507 of the family's 1533-position model. The record is from RNAcentral.